Molecule: long non-coding RNA, 275 nt
Filed under: Capsicum annuum
Lineage: Eukaryota; Viridiplantae; Streptophyta; Magnoliopsida; Solanales; Solanaceae
Description: long non-coding RNA (CANN_LNC019212)
Source: RNAcentral
UAGUUGUGAAGAUACGCUUGAAUGUCAUGAUUAAAGUGCAAGUAAACAUCUAGCAAGAGGUCGUAUUUAGAAGUUGGGAAAGUACAAAGUGUAAGUGUACAUUUAGAUCCUUGACUUAUGUCAGUCCCCGGCAUGUAUCCAUCAAAAGACUUAGUUGCCAACUCAAUUAUAGUUUCAGUAUCCAGCACUCAGUGAUCAGUGUUCAGUCCUUGAAUUUAGUACUUCUGUACUAGCUAUAGGCUUAGUUAUACUGUCAUCUUCAAUUCAGUAACCAG